UACGUAGGUGGCAAGCGUUGUCCGGAUUUACUGGGCGUAAAGAGCGCGCAGGCGGCUGGGCAAGUCCGGUGUGAAAGCUUCCGGCUUAACUGGAAAAUUGCAUCGGAAACUGCUAGGCUUGAAGGUGGGAGAGGGUAGCGGAAUUCCCGGUGUAGUGGUGAAAUGCGUAGAUAUCGGGAGGAACACCAGUGGCGAAGGCGGCUACCUGGCCCACUCUUGACGCUGAGGCGCGAAAGCUAGGGGAGCAAACGGG
This 253-nucleotide ribosomal RNA is filed under the name uncultured bacterium. RNAcentral describes it as "partial 16S ribosomal RNA". It matches the Rfam family "Bacterial small subunit ribosomal RNA", at positions 524 to 776 of the family's 1533-position model. The record is from RNAcentral.